RNAcentral lists this ribosomal RNA (495 nucleotides) under uncultured bacterium. RNAcentral describes it as "partial 16S ribosomal RNA". It matches the Rfam family "Bacterial small subunit ribosomal RNA", at positions 28 to 507 of the family's 1533-position model. The record is from RNAcentral.
GAUGGACGCUGGCGGCGUGCCUAAUACAUGCAAGUAGAACGCUGAAGGAGGAGCUUGCUCUUCUGGAUGAGUUGCGAACGGGUGAGUAACGCGUAGGUAACCUGCCUGGUAGCGGGGGAUAACUAUUGGAAACGAUAGCUAAUACCGCAUGACAACAGUUAUUGCAUGAUAACUGUUUAAAAGGGGCAACUGCUCCACUACCAGAUGGACCUGCGUUGUAUUAGCUAGUUGGUGAGGUAACGGCUCACCAAGGCGACGAUACAUAGCCGACCUGAGAGGGUGAUCGGCCACACUGGGACUGAGACACGGCCCAGACUCCUACGGGAGGCAGCAGUAGGGAAUCUUCGGCAAUGGACGGAAGUCUGACCGAGCAACGCCGCGUGAGUGAAGAAGGUUUUCGGAUCGUAAAGCUCUGUUGUAAGAGAAGAACGAGUGUGAGAGUGGAAAGUUCACACUGUGACGGUAUCUUACCAGAAGGGGACGGCUAACUACGUG